RNAcentral lists this ribosomal RNA (253 nucleotides) under uncultured bacterium. Its description in RNAcentral is "partial 16S ribosomal RNA". It matches the Rfam family "Bacterial small subunit ribosomal RNA", at positions 524 to 776 of the family's 1533-position model. The record is from RNAcentral.
UACGGAGGGCGCGAGCGUUACCCGGAUUUACUGGGCGUAAAGGGCGUGUAGGCGGCUUGGGGCGUCCCAUGUGAAAGGCCACGGCUCAACCGUGGAGGAGCGUGGGAUACGCUCAGGCUAGACGGUGGGAGAGGGUGGUGGAAUUCCCGGAGUAGCGGUGAAAUGCGCAGAUACCGGGAGGAACGCCGAUGGCGAAGGCAGCCACCUGGCUCACUGGUGACGCUGAGGCGCGAAAGAGUGGGGAGCAAACCGG